GACGUACUCCUUCCGUCCAGAAAUACUUGUUGAAAAAAUGCAUAAAAAUAGAUGUAUCUAGAACUAAAAAAUACAUCUAGAUACAUCCAUUCCUCCGAUAAGUAUUUUUGGACGAAGAGAGUACUAG
Non-coding RNA from Triticum aestivum (bread wheat), 127 nucleotides. The record is from Rfam. Lineage: Eukaryota; Viridiplantae; Streptophyta; Magnoliopsida; Poales; Poaceae.